CCUACGGGAGGCUGCAGUGAGGAAUAUUGGUCAAUGGACGCAAGUCUGAACCAGCCAUGCCGCGUGCAGGAAGACGGCUCUAUGAGUUGUAAACUGCUUUUGUACGAGGGUAAACGCAGAUACGCGUAUCUGUCUGAAAGUAUCGUACGAAUAAGGAUCGGCUAACUCCGUGCCAGCAGCCGCGGUAAUAAGGAGGAUUCAAGCGUUAUCCGGAUUUAUUGGGAUUAAAGGGUGCGUAGGCGGUCGGAUAAGUUAGAGGGGAAAUCCCGAGGCUCCAAUUCGGAAGUGCCGCUGAUACUGUUCGGCUAGAGAGUAGUUGCGGUAGGCGGAAUGUAUGGUGUAGCGGUGAAAUGCUUAGAGAUCAUACAGAACACCGAUUGCGAAGGCAGCUUACCAAGCUACUUCUGACGUUGAGGCACGAAAGCGUGGGGAGCAAACAGGAUUAGAUACCCGGGUAGUC
This 460-nucleotide ribosomal RNA is filed under the name uncultured bacterium. Its description in RNAcentral is "partial 16S ribosomal RNA". It matches the Rfam family "Bacterial small subunit ribosomal RNA", at positions 338 to 795 of the family's 1533-position model. The record is from RNAcentral.